Molecule: ribosomal RNA, 250 nt
Filed under: uncultured bacterium
Lineage: Bacteria
Description: partial 16S ribosomal RNA
Rfam family: Bacterial small subunit ribosomal RNA
Source: RNAcentral
UACGUAGGUGGCAAGCGUUGUCCGGAUUUAUUGGGUUUAAAGGGUGCGUAGGCGGUCUAUUAAGUCAGUGGUGAAAUAUGGCAGCUCAACUGUCAAGGUGCCAUUGAUACUGAUGGACUUGAGUGAAGUCGAAGUAGGCGGAAUUGACGGUGUAGCGGUGAAAUGCUUAGAUAUCGUCAAGAACACCGAUAGUGAAGACAGCUUACUAGGCUUAUACUGACGCUGAGGCACGAAAGUGUGGGGAUCAAAC